GUGCUGACUUCCACAGCACAUAUAGUAAAAUUGGAAUGAUACAGAGAUUAGCAUGACCCCUACACGAGGAUGACACAAAUUAGUGAAGCGUUCCAUAUUAAA
Small nuclear RNA from Cercocebus atys (sooty mangabey), 102 nucleotides. NCBI's taxonomy places the organism in Eukaryota, Metazoa, Chordata, Mammalia, Primates, Cercopithecidae. The record is from Ensembl.